This 1517-nucleotide long non-coding RNA is filed under the name Apteryx owenii (little spotted kiwi). RNAcentral describes it as "lncRNA (ENSAOWG00000013075.1)". Lineage: Eukaryota; Metazoa; Chordata; Aves; Apterygiformes; Apterygidae. The record is from RNAcentral.
UCCAAAGAAUGGACCCCAGUGAACCCCGUGGUUGCUCUUUCAGCUUUGGGAUGAGUGUGUCUUCAUGUGGAAGAACAUGGAACAGUGACAGAGCAUAUCUGCAACCUCUAGUUGACAUUCAGAGGAACUGGGGCAACGUUUUCCCUAUUUUCCCCGGAUUAUUCUCUUUCUUUUGGGUGAAAUAGCAAAAUAUAUAUCUACACAUGAAAAAUAUUCUAAUAGUUCUUGGGUGUUGAUUUUCAUGCAAAAAGACCUCUUGGAAGGUCUGUUGCUGCCCGCCAUUAACCAGGUAGAAGAAAGAGAGCCUCACUCUGAUGGUUGUCACAUUCCUCUUUGAUUUUCUUUCAAUCAGGUUCCAAAAUCUCCUAACCUGGAAUAAAAUUCCUACGCAUAGGUAUCAUUAAGCACAUCUGACAUGAGGAUUGAACAUCAGGGCACAACGUAUUUGUAGCAAUCCCCCUCUUGUUUUAGCAGUACCCGGGAUGCUUUUAGUAGAGCCUGGGUAAUGUUUUCAUUGAGAAUCACUUCAGAACUUCUUCUGAGAGGCCGCAAAAGCAUCUCUGUGGAGCCCAGGGCAUUUCCCAUGCACAUAGGGCAUGGAAGUGAGCCACUGCAUGCUUUUUCAAGGUGGAAGAAAGGAAGCACAGAAGUUCAUCUCCAGAGAUGCCAUAAAACACCCUCUUGCUCUAUUUUUGGUAGUUUCAGAGGUCUGAGGAUCAAGUAUUAGCAAAGAGGUUUGAAGAUGAAGUACAAGAGUGCUUGCCUUACUUUAAGGCAUAGACUGCAUUGUUCUAAGGCCUCUAAUUUUACAGGAAAAGACCCUCACCAUUUCUGGAGAACUGACAAGGGUUGGUGGGUUUGGUUUUUUUUUGUGCAACAUGUGCUGAGAAUGGGAUUUUUCUCAAUUGCAUUUCUUUUAAUCUAAUACACAUGCAUCACUGCUUUCCAUGGAAGAAGAGCAUCCAAAAGUCCAAUUUUGGAAACCUGCCAGAAGAGACAGACAUUGGCAGAAAAUGAGCCUGCAGAAAAAAUGUUCUGUGGUGCAGCUGGUUGUAAUGUGCAUCCACAAGACUCUCGUGUGCAUCAGUGAGGCUGCAGCCCUGGAUGUCCUAAGGCUUGUUGCGCUCCUCCUGACCUUCCUCUACCUCAGCGAGGUGGUCACUGGCCUGUUGAGCUGCUCCCCAGCCUGUGACAGGUAGGUCCCCGUUGUGGCCAGCCCAGAGGCAGAAGCCCGGGUGCCAGAACUGUGCUCCCUCCGUCCCCCGUGGGGCCACCAGCUCGUUGGGCUCUGGCAAGGGAGAGUGGGACACCAGGACCCUGACCAGAACCCUUCUGUCUCGGGAUUCGCAGUGUCAAUCGCAGUGGCUUCCCAGAGCCUGCCAGUAUAUCAAAUUCCAGGUGCGGAGCAACUGGGGCAAGCCCGAGUGCACAUGCAUUUACCGAGUGCAGGUUCAUGGCAUGAUGGCAAGACAGAACUACCACCUGAGGCACGAGACAAGAGAGCUUCUGUAAACAAG